CUGAAACACUUCAAAUUGUGUUUCUCAGUUAACAAGGACUCAGCAAAAGGGAAAGAAAUACUGAGUCAAGACCAGGAGACAAAUAUCAGAGGUAGAGAGAUAGACAGGGCAGCAGACUAGGCUGCAUAUACAUCCAGCGAGGGAUUUCCUGGAAAGCUAAGAUCCUCGCAUUGAAUAUGGAAGAGGGUGAUCGUUCAGUCGAUCAGUCUAUUGAGGCUGAGGUGCAAGGGGAUGCCCCAGCUGUACAAAAUGUCAGUGGUUCAGCAGCACCAGCCCCUGCAGUACUGCAGUUUCCUGCUCAGUUCGCUCAGCAGAUGGCUGCAAUAUUCCAACAAAUGGCUGGUAAUAUGCCUACUCAAGUCCCAAU
This is a long non-coding RNA of Hevea brasiliensis (rubber tree), 367 nucleotides long. RefSeq lists it as uncharacterized. The record is from RefSeq and is a predicted model, not a curated record. NCBI's taxonomy places the organism in Eukaryota, Viridiplantae, Streptophyta, Magnoliopsida, Malpighiales, Euphorbiaceae. The transcript is spliced from 3 exons.